Molecule: ribosomal RNA, 845 nt
Filed under: uncultured bacterium
Lineage: Bacteria
Description: SSU rRNA
Rfam family: Bacterial small subunit ribosomal RNA
Source: RNAcentral
GACGUAGGUUCCAAGCGUUGCCCGGUUUUAUUGGGCGUAAAGCGUCUGUAGGUGGUUUUUUAAGUCUUGUUUCAAAGACCCUGACUCAAUCAGGGAAAGGGGCAGGAUACUGGAAGACUGGAGUUAUAUCGGGGUUACUGGAAUUUAUAGUGUAGGGGUAAAAUCCGUGGAUACUAUAAAGAACACCAAGCGCGAAGGCGGGUAACCAGGUAUAUACUGACACUCAGAGACGAAAGCUAGGGUAGCCAAUCAGAUUAGAGACCUGAGUAGUCCUAGCCGUAAACAUUGUCUGUUAAUUUUCCCUAAUUUAUUGGGGGAGAUGCUAGCUAACGCGUUAAACAGACCGCCUGGGGAGUAUAGCCGCAAGGCCGAAACUCAAACGAAUUGGCGGGGAGGCGCACAACCAGUGGAGCAUGUGGUUCAAUUCGAUACGAAGCGAUGAACCUUACCUGGGUUUGAAAUGUAUCUGCAUGGUCUAAGAAACUAGACCGGUCCUUCGAGGGUGAUACACAGCUGUUGCAUGGCUGUCGUCAGCUCGUGACGUGAGUUGUUCUCUUAAGUGAGGUAACGAGCGCAACCCCUAUCGUAUGUUAUCGUGUCAUACGAGACUGCCCAGCAUUAUUUUGUUGGGAGGAAGGAGGGGACGACGUCAAGUCAUCAUGAUGCUUAUAUCCAGGGCUACACACAUCCUACAAUGGGUUGGACAGAGGGUCGCAAUGCCGCAAGGUGGAGCUAAUCCUUAAACCAUCCCUCAGUUGGGAUUGCAGGCUGAAAUUCGCCUGCAUGAACCCGGAAUUGGUAGUAAUCGCAAAUCAGCAGAUUGCGGUGAAUACGUUCUCGCCUCU